Molecule: ribosomal RNA, 369 nt
Filed under: uncultured bacterium
Lineage: Bacteria
Description: bacterial SSU rRNA
Rfam family: Bacterial small subunit ribosomal RNA
Source: RNAcentral
GUAGGGUGCAAGCGUUAAUCGGAAUUACUGGGCGUAAAGCGUGCGCAGGCGGCUUUGCAAGACAGAUGUGAAAUCCCCGGGCUCAACCUGGGAACUGCAUUUGUGACUGCAAGGCUAGAGUACGGUAGAGGGGGAUGGAAUUCCGCGUGUAGCAGUGAAAUGCGUAGAUAUGCGGAGGAACACCGAUGGCGAAGGCAAUCCCCUGGACCUGUACUGACGCUCAUGCACGAAAGCGUGGGGAGCAAACAGGAUUAGAUACCCUGGUAGUCCACGCCCUAAACGAUGUCAACUGGUUGUUGGACGGCUUGCUGUUCAGUAACGAAGCUAACGCGUGAAGUUGACCGCCUGGGGAGUACGGCCGCAAGGUUG